Mobula hypostoma (lesser devil ray) is the source of this 839-nucleotide long non-coding RNA. RefSeq lists it as uncharacterized. The record is from RefSeq and is a predicted model, not a curated record. The transcript is spliced from 4 exons. NCBI's taxonomy places the organism in Eukaryota, Metazoa, Chordata, Chondrichthyes, Myliobatiformes, Myliobatidae.
UUCCAUAGAUACUGCCUGGCCUGCUGAGUUCCUGCAGCAAAUUGUGUAUACUGCUUGGAUUUUGUUGAAGUUGUAUAAUAGUGUGGAAUGAACUGCCAGCAGAAGUGGUACAUGUGCGCUUGAUUUCAAUUUGAAGGCUGGAGAGAAAAACCUUGCAGAAAACUUCUGGCAGAAUGACAAGUACCUUGACUCAGGGAGUAGGUGCCAUGAUGGAAUGGCAGAGCUGCCUUGGUAUGGUAGAUUUUCAACAGACCAAACCAAAAUGAAGACAACGGGGCAUUCAAGACAAGCCAGGGAAAUGAAUACAGAGAAGCACAAACCUGGGGAAGGGUACAAGACCAUCUCAAAGACAUUGACCAUACCUCAAAGCUCACUGUAGUCCAUCAUGAAUAAGUGGAAAAAUAUGAAACCACAGCACACUGCUUAGGUCAGGUGUCCUGUAAACGUUACCACCCAAUUAAACAUCUCCGGCAAGACCUCAAGAUUGCUGUCCACUGUCACUUCCUAACUAACCUGGCAAAGAUUGAGCAAAUUUGUUGUGAAGAACUGACAAAUCUUGCUCUGUCACAUUGUGCAAAACUGAUAGAGACUUGUCCAAAAAGGUCUGUAAUGGAUGUAAGAGGUGGUUCAACUACGUACUGAGCAAAGGGAGAUGAAUACUUUUGAUUAAGUGAGUUUUUGUAUUUUUAGUUUUUCAGAUUUACACUUUUUCCUGUUUUGGGGGCCUGUGGAAAAAAAAAAGGAUUAUGUGAUUCUCAAAUAAAAAUUCUCAGUUAAAUUGAUCAAAAUCCCUGGUUGUUAUAUUCAUGGAUGUGAAUAUAGGGAUGUGGGGUGAAUAC